Molecule: non-coding RNA, 451 nt
Organism: Arachis ipaensis
Lineage: Eukaryota; Viridiplantae; Streptophyta; Magnoliopsida; Fabales; Fabaceae
Source: RefSeq, a predicted model, not a curated record
UCUUCAACACCGUUUCCGUCCGACACCACCACCGGCGACCACCAUCGCCUACCCUCUCUCUCUUCCUUCUUCUCUUUCUUCCCCAUUUCUCCAUUUCUUCGUUCCUGCGUGCGACACCCCUGUUUGUGGAGUCACCCUCUGUCCGCGUCUUCAAGCACCGACAAGCAACCACCAGCGGCGGCGACCUUCUGUGCCACCGCGACAUCACCACCACCCCACCGCCUCUCCGUUCUUCUUCCUCCUUUCAUCAAUGCAGCUUUCUUAAAAGAUUCCCUCUCUCUCUGGUGCUGCAAAGUUAGGGUUUUCUAUGACCAGCAUUUCACAGUGGAAACUGUAGUGGUGUGGGUCAAUAGAAUCUUUUGAUCAAAGAAACAAUAGUGGAGUAUUUGGUUCUUCAGCAUAUACACUAUCACAAAGUAUUGGUAGAGUUUAAGACUCCCAGAAAAGCUAU